RNAcentral lists this ribosomal RNA (821 nucleotides) under Bacillus sp. BLDJ 11. RNAcentral's name for it is "partial 16S ribosomal RNA". It matches the Rfam family "Bacterial small subunit ribosomal RNA", at positions 390 to 1205 of the family's 1533-position model. Lineage: Bacteria; Bacillati; Bacillota; Bacilli; Caryophanales; Bacillaceae. The record is from RNAcentral.
CGCAAUGCCGCGUGUGUGAAGAAGGCCUUCGGGUUGUAAAGCACUUUUGUCGGGGAAGAAGGUGCUCUAGUUAAUACCUUUGGCUCCUGGCCGUUCCCGAAAAAAAAAGCCCCGGUUAAUUCGGGGCCACCGCCCGGGGAAUUACGAAGGUGGCAGGGGUUAUCCGAAUUUAUGGGGGGAAAAGGGGGCGCAGGGGGUUGCUUAAAUCGAAUGUGAAUCCCCGGGCUUCACCUGGGGAUUGGCUUUGGAAAUGGGGGGAUAUGAGUGGGGAAAAGGGGGGUGAAUUUCCCGUGGAACAGUGAAAUUGCUAAAAAUAUGGAAGAAAACCCGUGGGCAAAGGGGACCCCUGGGCCUGUACUGGCACUCGAGGGCCAAAACGUGGGGAGAAAAAACGAUUAAAUACCCUGGGAAUCCCCGCCCUAAACAAUAUGUACUAUAAGGUUGGGGGCCUUUGGCCCUUUAGCGGUGAAAAUAACGCAAUAUGAACUCCGCCUGGGGAGUACGGCCGCAAUACUAAAACUCAAAUGAAUUGACGGGCCCCCGCACAAGCGGAGGAUCAUGUGUUUUAUUUCGAAGCAACGCAAAAAAUCUUACCCGGUCUUGACAUACUAAGACAUCCCAAGAGAUAGAGUUGCUCCUUCGGAAACUGAGAUACAGGUGGUGCAUGGGUGUCGUCAGCUCGUGUCGUGAGAUGUUGGGUUAACUCCCGCAACGAGCGCAACCCUUGCCCUUAUUUGCCAGCAUUAACAAGGGAAAUCUAAGGGGACGGACGGAUCAAAUCGGGAGAAGAUGCGGAGAAAUCUAAUUCUCCUGUCCCUUUA